This is a long non-coding RNA of Solanum dulcamara, 1444 nucleotides long. RefSeq lists it as uncharacterized. NCBI's taxonomy places the organism in Eukaryota, Viridiplantae, Streptophyta, Magnoliopsida, Solanales, Solanaceae. The transcript is spliced from 2 exons. The record is from RefSeq and is a predicted model, not a curated record.
UAACCAAAUAGUUUUUGGGAAGAAAAAAAAAAAAAAGAGGAGAAAAGAAUGUAUGCGCGAACGGGCUUUAGACUCGAGUAGAUGCCUAGAAACUUCUUAGUUAGAAGUAGCUGGAGUUGUGUAAUGAAGUAAAAGAAGUGGGGUCAAAAUUUAGUUCUGAUAUUUCGACGAUUGUAAUAUUGUGAAUGGAGGCGAACAAGAUGGUAAUCUCACAUAUUAGGGUUUCUAGCCUUAUAAAUUGCAGCAGCAAUACUCAUCUUCAACAUCAUCCUCUUCCCUGCCUCCCACAUAACAAACAUAGGUGUUUUUUUUUUAACUUAUCUGGAAAAUUCUUACUUUUUUUUUGAAGAGCUGUGAUGAGAUCUGAAGAAAGUCAUGCACCACUCUUACAAAAUUUACUUUUUGAUUGAUGACAAAUUUCUCGUAUCCAUUUUCUUUCUGAGCUCUCUUAUACAUGAUUUUCAAUUUUAUUAUUACAAUAUUAUUUAUUUGAACCCGCAGUCGGCUAAUUAUGAAUUUCAAACGAUCCUUUUUUUUAAUUUAUAUAGAAAAUAAUUGAUAGGAGGAGCAGCGUGAUGGUAUCUUUUCAGAAAGAUCAAACCAUGAUGCGGACCGUACCAUAGCCUAAAGCUUCUGGGGAUAAAAUUUGGUUUCUGAUCGCUCCUUCUACAUUUCAUAUUAUUUUUCUUGAGUAUUUUUCAUUUGCAUCUCAUUCUUUAUUUUCAUUUUUUUAAAAAAAAAUAAUAAAAUUUUGAACCCCUUGAUAUGGAAAGAAGCAUACGAAAUAUGUAGGAAGUGGAAAGGGAGGAGAGAUUUGGGAAGCUUUGGGGGCGGGUGGCGCGGGAAGAUGUCAUGUUUAUAUUUUCUGAAAUAUAAGAAUUGAUAUCUUCCCGACUCCACCCAUUUCACUGGCUUCCAAUCAUUCCUCCCUUUCCCGAUUCUCCUCCAGUUGGAAUCAUGGAUUUGUUUGUACAACAUGAGUUUCUCUAAAUACCUAGAAAAAAAACAUUUUAUAAGGUAACCUAUACUCCAAAUUCUGGGCUUCUGGCCAUAGGUAAAUUCAAAAAUCUUCUGUAUCAGAGAAAAAUUGGUAUCAUGAAUCACUAUUACAAGUUUUUAAGUAUCUGUUUUAAUUUUGAUUGAUAAAACAAAACUUUUAAAAGUGAUACCGUAGUUAUCUAACCGCACAGCCAAAAUCGAAAAAUGAAAAAAUUGAACCAAAAUGGAGAAACUAGUGUAUACCCAGGUUCCCUUCAAACGAAUGCUUGAUGUACAAAAAGAAAAACAAUAGAUCGGUCAUAUAGGAAAGAAGAGAGAAAAUCUGAAAUGCUAUCAACUUUAUUGUUUUGAAUUUGUCGAGUUUCAUACAAUUUCAUAUUCCAAGUCUCAAUUUAUUUACCUCAAAUGUUGAAUGAAUGACCUCCGAUGGAAGGAAUUGAUACUA